GGGAGGUUAUGGCUCAAAAUGUUUCAGAAUUAGGGGCAAAAAAGGGGAAAAACUAGGUAUUUCUGGUCAAUGAACAAUUAAGACAAAUUAAGAGCAGUGUAAGCAAGGUAAUUCUAAGUUCAGAUUUACCUCCCUUAUACUUCUUGUAUAUUAUGUAUAAAGAAAUGUCAGGUUUUGGACUAAUUUAAAAAAAAAAAAGGGGGGUGGUAGUUGUUUUCAAUAUUUUUUUCUUCAAAUUUCUCAAUUUCCAAAUUUUUGAAAAGUCAAAAUAAGAAAUCUUUAAUUGCACAAUAUUGCACAAUAGAUUUAUAAGAUCUUGACAUUUGUUUUGUGUCAGAAAAGCAUAUUAUGUCAAAAAUUUGAUUGCAAUCCAAAUUCAGAGCUGUAUCAAGCUUGAAUGUUGUGUCCAUACUUGCCCCAACUGUUCAGGGUCCGAUUUCUGCAGUCGUAUAAAGCUGCGCCCUGCAGAACACCUAGUUGUCCUUUGUUCAGAAAUCUCAUUUAUUAUACCCCCGCUUUAAAAAACGGGGGUUAUACUGUUUUAUUAUACCCCCGCUUUAAAAAAGGGGGGGUAUACUGUUUUACCUCUGUCUGUCAGUCCGUCCGUCCGUCCGUCAGUCCGUCCGUCCCAUGAAACUUUCGUCACAUUUUUCUCAGGAACUACACAUCCACCCUUUCUGUAAUUUGGUAUCAACAUUUAUAUAUGUCAGCCAUACCGUGUGAUGCGUUUUCAGAUUCAUCACUUGACAACUUCCUGUUUACCGAACACUUGUCUGAUUUUACACAUGAUAGCCAAGUUGAAAAUUUUCGUCACAUUUUUCUCAGGAACUACAAUACAAGGAUUUCUGAAAUUUGGUUUCAGGAUUUAUAUAAGUCAGCUAUACCGUGUGAUGCGUUUUCAGAUUCAUCACUCGACAACUUCCUGUUUACCAAACACUUGUAUGAUUUUACACAUGAUAGCCAAGUUGAAAAUUUUCGUCACAUUUUUCUCAGGAACUACAAUACAAGGAUUUCUGAAAUUUGGUUUCAGGAUUUAUAUAAGUCAGC
RNAcentral lists this long non-coding RNA (1047 nucleotides) under Mytilus galloprovincialis (Mediterranean mussel). The record is from RNAcentral. Lineage: Eukaryota; Metazoa; Mollusca; Bivalvia; Mytilida; Mytilidae.